GUGAGGAAUAUUGGUCAAUGGGCGGGAGCCUGAACCAGCCAAGUCGCGUGAAGGAAGAAGGAUCUAUGGUUCGUAAACUUCUUUUGCAGGGGAAUAAAGUGCAGGACGUGUCCUGUUUUGUAUGUACCCUGAGAAUAAGGAUCGGCUAACUCCGUGCCAGCAGCCGCGGUAAUACGGAGGAUCCGAGCGUUAUCCGGAUUUAUUGGGUUUAAAGGGUGCGUAGGUGGUUUGAUAAGUCAGCGGUGAAAGUUUGCAGCUUAACUGUAAAAAUGCCGUUGAAACUGUCGGACUUGAGUGUAAAUGAGGUAGGCGGAAUGCGUGGUGUAGCGGUGAAAUGCAUAGAUAUCACGCAGAACUCCGAUUGCGAAGGCAGCUCACAAAGCCAAUAUUGACGCUGAGGCACGAAAGUGUGGGGAUCAAACAGGAUUAGAAACCCGAGUAGUCC
Molecule: ribosomal RNA, 445 nt
Filed under: uncultured bacterium
Lineage: Bacteria
Description: partial 16S ribosomal RNA
Rfam family: Bacterial small subunit ribosomal RNA
Source: RNAcentral